AAAGAAACCAACAGGGAUUGCCCCAGUAACGGCGAGUGAAGCGGCAACAGCUCAAAUUUGAAAUCUGGCCCUAGGCCCGAGUUGUAAUUUGCAGAGGAUGCUUUGGGCGCGGUGCCUUCCGAGUUCCCUGGAACGGGACGCCAUAGAGGGUGAGAGCCCCGUCUGGUCGGACACCAAGCCUAUGUAAAGCUCCUUCGACGAGUCGAGUAGUUUGGGAAUGCUGCUCAAAAUGGGAGGUAUAUGUCUUCUAAAGCUAAAUACCGGCCAGAGACCGAUAGCGCACAAGUAGAGUGAUCGAAAGAUGAAAAGCACUUUGAAAAGAGAGUUAAAUAGCACGUGAAAUUGUUGAAAGGGAAGCGUUUAUGACCAGACUUGGCCCGGUUGAUCAUCCAGCGUUCUCGCUGGUGCACUCUGCCGGUCCAGGCCAGCAUCAGUUCGUCGCGGGGGAUAAAGGUUUCGGGAAUGUGGCUCCUCGGAGUGUUAUAGCCCGUUGCGUAAUACCCUGCGGUGGACUGAGGUCCGCGCUCUGCAAGGAUGCUGGCGUAAUGGUCAUCAACGACCCGUCUUGAAACACGGACCAAGGAGUCGUCUUCGUAUGCGAGUGUUCGGGUGUAAAACCCCUACGCGUAAUGAAAGUGAACGGAGGUGGGAGCUUCGGCGCACCAUCGACCGAUCCUGAUGUUCUCGGAUGGAUUUGAGUAAGAGCAUACGGGGCCGGACCCGAAAGAAGGUGAACUAUGCCUGUAUAGGGUGAAGCCAGAGGAAACUCUGGUGGAGGCUCGCAGCGGUUCUGACGUGCAAAUCGAUCGUCAAAUAUGGGCAUGGGGGCGAAAGACUAAUCGAACCUUCUAGUAGCUGGUUUCCGCCGAAGUUUCCCUCAGGAUAGCAGUGUUGAACUCAGUUUUAUGAGGUAAAGCGAAUGAUUAGGGACCCGGGGGCGCUAUUUUGCCUUCAUCCAUUCUCAAACUUUAAAUAUGUAAGAAGCCCUUGUUGCUUAAUUGAACGUGGGCAUUCGAAUGUAUCAAC
Molecule: ribosomal RNA, 1026 nt
Filed under: Parvothecium amazonense
Lineage: Eukaryota; Fungi; Ascomycota; Sordariomycetes; Hypocreales; Stachybotryaceae
Description: eukaryotic LSU rRNA
Rfam family: Eukaryotic large subunit ribosomal RNA
Source: RNAcentral